UUAAGUUGCGUUCGCGGGCUGCUCUUUUCCGGCGCCUGGAGGUGGCCGGCAGCUGCUCCUCGGGGCCUUUUACGCCUGUGUUUUAUUCGCGCAGGGGUCUGCAGCUUUGCUGAGGAGCGCGGCUGGAAGCAGGGGCACGGGCUAGCAGGCUGCUGGGUGAGCGCGGGGUGUUCCUGGGGACCGCACGCCCAGGGUAAGAGCUUUUUACUUUUCCUUCCCUCCUGUGGUGAGUGAGGAGGGUAAGUGAAAGCAGACGGCUGACCCCUCUGUGGGCUGUGUGCAUUUCUGUACCGAGUAAGCCCCUUCCAGCACUGCAGGGUCCCUGCAGAGUACCACGUCCUGAAGGCUGGAGCCAGCCCAUCUGUGAGGGCUGCCGUGACAUCCUGGUGAUGAAGCGGAGCCAAGGUGACUGUCAGUCAUGACCGCGGGAGCAAAUUCAGGCCGCAGACAAGCAGGUACCACUUUCCUUAAGGAAAGACUGUCACUGGUUCUGGACAUUUGCCUGUGGAGCUGAGAGGACCAAAAAUAUGAAGUUAAUUAUAAUGGAGAUGAAUUAGUGCUUGCGGUGUUUCAGGCGCAGGCCUAUUACACCAAGACCGGUGAUGCGAUGGGCGAACUGAGAGCUGUGCAAGCGUCCCGCAGGGCAGAAGUGCGGACGACCGAGAUCGACCAUUUUCUUCUCUGCUCUCAGAGCUAAAUCCUGUCCCCGAAGGAAAAGGGGUAGGCUGUCGGCUACUCGGAUACCUGCCGCGUCAAGGGCGGCAGCGGGAGCUGACCCUUCCCCUACAGAGGCCGGCGUACAGAGAGAUGACCCUUCCUGUCACACGGUAAGGGGAAGUGCGCUGUCACCGUGCUCCGUGGCAGGCUCGCUCCCAGGUGAUGUUUCUGCGCAGUCAAACAAUAAACAGCUGGUUUAUUC
Molecule: long non-coding RNA, 919 nt
Organism: Rhea pennata
Lineage: Eukaryota; Metazoa; Chordata; Aves; Rheiformes; Rheidae
Exons: 3
Source: RefSeq, a predicted model, not a curated record